GACGAACGCUGGCGGCGUGCUUAACACAUGCAAGUCGAACGGAAAGGCCCUGCUUUUGUGGGGUGCUCGAGUGGCGAACGGGUGAGUAACACGUGAGUAACCUGCCCUUGACUUUGGGAUAACUCCAGGAAACUGGGGCUAAUACCGGAUAGAAGCUCCUGCUGCAUGGUGGGGGUUGGAAAGUUCCGGCGGUUGGGGAUGGAUUCGCGGCUUAUCCGCUGGUUGGUGUGGUAGUGGAUUACCAAGGCUUUGACGGGUAGCCGGCCUGAGAGGGUGACCGGCCACAUUGGGACUGAGAUAGGGCCCAGACUCGUACGGGAGGCAGCAGUGGAGAAUAUUGCACAGUGAGCGGAAGCGUGAUGCAGCAACGCCGGGUGCGGAAUGACGGCCUUCGGGUUGUAAACAGCUUUCGCAGGUGACGAAGCGUGAGUGACGGUAAUGGGUAAAGAAGCACCGGCUAACUACGUG
This 468-nucleotide ribosomal RNA is filed under the name uncultured bacterium. Its description in RNAcentral is "partial 16S ribosomal RNA". It matches the Rfam family "Bacterial small subunit ribosomal RNA", at positions 28 to 507 of the family's 1533-position model. The record is from RNAcentral.